CUACAAACUUCAACUUCUCUCUCUCUCUCUCUCUCUCUCUCUCUCUAUCUCUUUCACUGCAUCUUCAGUACCCACCAACCGACUUUUUCUUUCAUUCCCAAGUUCCCCCCGGGCCCCCCCGCUCUCUUAUCUCUCUGUCUCUCUCUCUCUCGCACAGAAAUUCCUUCUCUUCUCAAAUCUGAAAGCAAAAGCGCAAACACGAAUAUGGUUGUCACACUUUUGUUCCCUUUAUGUAAAAUUCCAGUCUCCACCCUCUGCUUCUUUUGUCACGCCAUCAUGACUUCCUUGAAAGUCAAGCAAGAAUAACAGAAGAACUUAUACAACCCCCUCUCCCCCUCUCUUUCGUACUCUUUUUUUGUUCUGAUCUCUCGAAUACCCAAAAAGCGCGCUGACACAAACGCACAAGAGUGAGACCCACGGGGCGUGCCAACAAUGUCCAGUAUUUUCAGGGACAUGGCUUUGGGAUCCUCCAAAAGACAUAGCCAGUAUCAGAGCCCCAUGCCGCAGCAGCAGCCCGUAUACCCGGUCGAAGGCCUGCCCUCCCCGUUCGACGACCCGGGCUCGAAUCUUUCGGACUCCGAGCUCCGAGAAACUGCUUAUGAGAUCCUCGUCGCCGCGUGUCGGAGCACCGGUACGCGGCCGUUGACCUACAUCCCGCAGUCGGAGAAAACCGAACGGGCUCCUGCGAUCUCGCAUUCGGCUUCGCUGCAGAGGUCGCUGACUUCGUCCACGGCCAGCCGGGUGAAGAAGGCUCUGGGGCUGAAAACGUCGUCGGCUUCAAAGAGGAGGGUCGGUGGCGGUGACUCGGUGAGUCAAGGGCGAGGGAAGAAGGCGGUCACGGUUGGGGAGCUUAUGAGGGUCCAGAUGAGGGUUUCAGAGCAAACCGAUUCGAGAAUUAGGAGAGCUCUUCUGAGGAUCGCUGCUGGGCAGCUUGGAAGACGAAUGGAGUCGGUGGUUUUACCACUCGAGCUAUUACAGCAGUUCAAGUCUUCCGAUUUCCCAAGUCAGCAAGAAUAUGCGGCUUGGCAAAGGAAAAAUUUGAAGGUUCUGGAAGCAGGACUUCUCCUGCAUCCUCACCUGCCGCUAGAGAAGACUAACUCUGACUCACGACGGCUCCAGCAGAUUAUUCGUGGGGCCGCAGAGAAGCCCCUAGAAACUGGAAAACACAACGAAGCAAUGCAAGUCUUGCGUAGUAGUGUUAUGUCUCUUGCUUGCAGAUCAUUUGACGGGUCUGCAACUGAGACAUGUCAUUGGGCGGAUGGGUUUCCAUUGAACCUCAGGCUCUACAAAAUGCUGUUAGAGGCAUCUUUUGAUAUAAAUGAAGAUACAUCUAUUAUUGAAGAGGUUGAUGAGGUUUUGGAACUCAUUAAGAAGACCUGGGUAAUCCUUGGUUUGAACCAAAUGCUGCAUAAUCUUUGUUUCUUGUGGGUUUUAUUCCACCGUUAUGUUGCAACUGGCCAAGUGGAAAAUGACCUGCUGUUUGCAUCCAAUAAUCUAUUGAUUGAAGUUGAAAAGGAUGCCAUUAAAAUCAGAGAUCCUGUUUCGUCAAAGAUUUUGAGUUCUAUAUUGAGUGUGAUAUUAGGCUGGGCGGAGAAGCGGCUUCUUGCUUACCAUGACAAUUUCCACAGCGGUAAUGUUGAAUCAAUGCAAAGUGUUGUCUCUCUAGGGUUAUUAUCAGCAAAAAUAUUGGUGGAAGAUGUCUCUUAUGAGUAUCGUAGGAACAGGAAAGAAGUUAGUGUCACAUGUGAAAGGGUUGAAACUUAUAUAAGAUCAUCACUUCGCACUUCUUUUGCUCAGAAAGUGGAGAAGGUGAACUCGAGCAAACAUAGAUCUAAGAACCAGAAGGGUUCUCUUCCUGCCCUUUCCAUCCUUGCACAAGACACUAGCAAACUUGCUCUAAAUGAGAAAGAGAUUUUUAGUCCAAUAAUGAAGAGGUGGCACCCCUUUGCAGCAGGUGUUGCUGUAGCUACCCUUCAUUCUUGCUAUGGAAAUGAGCUGAAGCAAUUUAUUACGGGUGUUAGUGAGUUGACUCCUGAUGCGAUAGAAGUCCUGAGGGCUGCUGACAAAUUGGAGAAAGAUCUUGUGCAGAUUGCAGUUGAAGAUGCUGUGGACAGCGAGGAUGGUGGGAAGUCCAUUAUACGAGAGAUGCCUCCUUAUGAGGCUGAAGCUGUAAUUGCCAAUCUGGUAAAGUCAUGGAUAGAGACAAGAGUGGACAGACUGAAGGAGUGGACUGAUAGGAAUCUGCAACAGGAGGUCUGGAAUCCACAAGCCAACAAAGAGCGAUGUGCUCCUUCUGCUGUUGAAGUUCUGCGAAUCAUAGAUGAAACUUUAGAAGCAUACUUUCUGUUGCCGAUUCCCAUGCAUCCGGUCUUGCUUCCAGAAUUGAUGGCUGGUUUUGACAGAUGUCUUCAACAUUACAUAUUAAAGGCCAAGUCUGGCUGUGGGACACGAAGUACUUAUGUUCCAAGUAUGCCUGCUUUGACUAGAUGCUCAACAGGAUCAAAGUUCCACGGCGUAUUCAAAAAGAAGGAAAAAUCACAAAUUACACAGAAGAGGCAGGUUGGAACUUCAAAUGGGGAUAACACCUUUGGGAUUCCCCAGCUUUGUGUUCGCUUAAAUACCUUGCAGCAAAUACGAACGGAAUUGGGAGUACUGGAGAAGAGAGUACUUGCAGAUCUUGAAAAUGCUGAAUGCACUCUGAUUUACGAUAUUGCAAAUGGGAUGGGGAAAAGGUUUGACCUUUCAGCAACUGCUUGCGUGGAAGGGAUCCAACAACUCUGUGAGGCAAUAGCAUACAAAAUCAUCUUCCAUAACUUAAACCAUGUUCUCUGGGAUGGCUUAUAUGUCGGGGAAGUUUAUUCUUGUAGGAUUGAACCAUUCCUUGAGGAGGUCGAGCAAUAUUUAGAGAUUAUUUCAUCAACAGUGCAUGACAGAGUCAGAACUAGGGUCAUUACUGACAUAAUGAAAGCUUCUUUUGAUGGGUUCCUGUUGGUUCUGCUUGCUGGGGGCCCUUCUCGUGCUUUCACUCAAAAAGAUUCUGAAAUAAUAAAGGAGGAUUUUAAGUUGCUCACAGAUCUAUUUUGGUCCAAUGGGGAUGGAUUGCCAGCUGAUUUAAUAGAUAAGGUUUCAACCACAGUUAAAAAUAUUCUUCCUCUACUUGGUACUGACACAGAGAGCCUAAUCGAGCAAUUUAAACAUCUAAUUCUUCGGAGUUUUGGCUCUGCUAACUCUAAGCUUCCAUUGCCUCCAACUUCAGCUCAAUGGGAUCCAACUGAACCAAACACGAUUUUGCGAGUUUUGUGUUAUCGGAAUGAUGAGAUGGCUGCCAAGUUUCUUAAGAAGACUUACAAUUUGCCCAAGAAACUAUAACUGCUUUGGGUUCUGAAAAUAAUGACUGAAUGAUGCAUUCAUGGGCACGGAAUGCUGCGCAGUUACUUCAAGCUUUGUAGGUGUUUAUUAUACCAACUGGAAAUUAAUUUUCCAACAACGUAAAUUCCAUUGUGGCUUCUGGAAGGGUUGCGCUAGUUGAAGGAAAAGUAUAGCUCUGGCCUCUUGUAUAGUGAUUUAUUGACUGCUUUAGAUUUAGUUAGAGCCUUUGCCAGUCAGUUGUGAGAACUCGAGGGAAUGGACUUGCUCCUUGGUUUAUGAUUAAUAAGCUUGGGUAUCUAUCACACACCAGGAAGGGUGCGGAUAUGUGUUUCAGUCCUUCCCAUAAGCUACUCGGAAGCCAACUCCUGUCCAAACUGCCACAAAAGUUUUCGCUGGAUAUGAUUUAACUCUAGAGCAUGUGGAUGUGCUCAGCAUUCAGAUUCUGACCUUGUUGAAGAUAAUGCUAGGAUGAAAAAGCAGAAAAUGUAUCGUGUUUAUGUAUUCUUACCAGAACAAAAUCUCUCUUCCUAUUUGAAUAUGGCUUGGACUGCGCGGGGUAUAUCCCAUGAAGGAACUCUGACUACACUUACAAAUCUUGUAAAGACGCAAUCUGCCUUUUCUGUAGCUAUUUAAGAACUCAUGGUUCCUCUUGCUAAAGCUGAUCCUAUUUGCUCUAAGUUGGGUUUGUCAGCUGUCUCUACUCAAAUGAAAGUGCUGGAGGGAAGAUUUGUCAGUGCAUAAAACCUGGUCUCUAGAUGCGCCUUCUUACCAUGCUUGAUAACCAUCUCACAUUCUCUGUUUCUUGGUUGUGUGUUGAUGUCAUUUUUUCCCCUUGGUUUAUGCUAAAUGCACAUAUCUCUUAGAGACUUUGUGGAAGUCGUUAACUGGUCUAUUCCUGAUGGUUUCCCUUGGAUGGCUAUUGGUGACUUCGUUAUUAAAUGGGAUCAUGAGAAGCUAGGGGUAGUCCUUUCUCCCGAAUGGCUAAAUCUGAAUUCUUGAAUUUCAUUUAUGAUAAUGCUCUUUAUGGCUUU
Molecule: RNA transcript, 4400 nt
Organism: Carya illinoinensis
Lineage: Eukaryota; Viridiplantae; Streptophyta; Magnoliopsida; Fagales; Juglandaceae
Gene name: protein unc-13 homolog
Exons: 6
Source: RefSeq, a predicted model, not a curated record